UCUGGGCGCGGGCGCGCUUUUUCCCUGUGGCACCGACACCGUCCGAAACGUUCAGCGCACCUGUGUCCUGAAACCGCGCCACCCCUCGAUAACCUUUCCUGCUCGCGCUGAACGGUCCGAAGGGAAGCUCCGAACGAAAAGGUUAAAAAACCGAGCCGGCUGUAUUUCUGCCAGUUGCGAUGGUUGCUGAAGGCCGACGGUGGGAGCAGGUUUGAUCCUGGCCCGGUCCGAGUCAUGCUGGAGUCAACCCAUCGAUAUGUCUCUCUCACAUCAAUGUUUCUUUCUGUUCCUCCCUCCCUCCCAC
Molecule: long non-coding RNA, 304 nt
Organism: Molossus molossus (Pallas's mastiff bat)
Lineage: Eukaryota; Metazoa; Chordata; Mammalia; Chiroptera; Molossidae
Exons: 3
Source: RefSeq, a predicted model, not a curated record